Molecule: unclassified non-coding RNA, 253 nt
Filed under: uncultured Kofleriaceae bacterium
Lineage: Bacteria; Pseudomonadati; Myxococcota; Haliangiales; Kofleriaceae
Description: contains 16S-23S intergenic spacer region
Rfam family: Bacterial small subunit ribosomal RNA
Source: RNAcentral
UACGGAGGGUGCAAACGUUGCUCGGAAUCAUUGGGCGUAAAGCGCACGUAGACGGUUCGUUAAGUCGGAUGUGAAAGCCCCGGGCUCAACCCGGGAAGUGCAUUCGAAACUGGCGAGCUUGAGUACGGAAGAGGGUCUCGGAAUUCCCGGUGUAGAGGUGAAAUCCGUAGAUAUCGGGAGGAACACCAGUGGCGAAGGCGGAGACCUGGGCCGAUACUGACGCUGAGGUGCGAAAGCGUGGGGAGCAAACAGG